UACGUAGGGUGCGAGCGUUGUCCGGAAUUAUUGGGCGUAAAGAGCUCGUAGGCGGUGUGUCACGUCGGCCGUGAAAACCUGCAGCUUAACUGUGGGCGUGCGGUCGAUACGGGCAUCACUGGAGUUCGGCAGGGGAGACUGGAAUUCCUGGUGUAGCGGUGAAAUGCGCAGAUAUCAGGAGGAACACCGGUGGCGAAGGCGGGUCUCUGGGCCGAUACUGACGCCGAGGAGCGAAAGCGUGGGGAGCAAACAGG
RNAcentral lists this ribosomal RNA (254 nucleotides) under uncultured bacterium. RNAcentral describes it as "partial 16S ribosomal RNA". It matches the Rfam family "Bacterial small subunit ribosomal RNA", at positions 524 to 776 of the family's 1533-position model. The record is from RNAcentral.